GGACUACCGGGGUAUCUAAUCCUUAUCGUUACCUAAGGCUUCGUCCCUCAACGUCAGUUUUUAUAUAAAAGGUUGCCUUCGCUGUUACCUGUCUUUCUAGUAUAAAUAAAUUUCAACUUUCCUCUAGAAAUACAUACCUUACACUAUAAAACUCUAGAAUACUAGUCCCUUAAUUAUAUGGCUUGAUAUUCCGUCUAGGUACCCUAUAAACCUAAUAAUGAUGAAUAACACUAGUCUUUUACGUAUUACCGCGGCUGCUGGCAC
This 264-nucleotide ribosomal RNA is filed under the name uncultured bacterium. Its description in RNAcentral is "partial 16S ribosomal RNA". The record is from RNAcentral.